CCUACGGUAGGCAGCAGUGGGGAAUAUUGCGCAAUGGGCGAACGCCUGACGCAGCGACGCCGCGUGAGGGAUGAAGGUCUUCGGAUCGUAAACCUCUGUCAGCAGGGAAGAACGGUCACUGUGCUAAUCAGCAGUGAAUUGACGGUAACUGCAAAGGAAGCACCGGCUAACUCCGUGCCAGCAGCCGAGUUAAUACGGAGGGUGCGAGCGUUAGUCGGAAUUACUGGGCGUAAAGGGCUCGUAGGCGGUAUGUCAAUUCAAGGGUGAAAUCCCCGCGCUCAACGUGGGAACUGCCUUUGAACCUGGCAAACUGGAGUGUGUGAGAGGAUAGUGGAAUCCCAGGUGUAGGAGUG
RNAcentral lists this ribosomal RNA (353 nucleotides) under uncultured bacterium. RNAcentral's name for it is "partial 16S ribosomal RNA". It matches the Rfam family "Bacterial small subunit ribosomal RNA", at positions 338 to 683 of the family's 1533-position model. The record is from RNAcentral.